This 72-nucleotide microRNA precursor is filed under the name Canis lupus familiaris (dog). Its description in RNAcentral is "miRNA (ENSCAFG00000052630.1, ENSCAFG00845016607.1)". It matches the Rfam family "mir-684 microRNA precursor family". The record is from RNAcentral. Lineage: Eukaryota; Metazoa; Chordata; Mammalia; Carnivora; Canidae.
AGGGCAAUCUGUCCUUAAGUAGGGAUAAAAAAAUAAAUCCUAGAUAGUUUUCCCUUCAAGUCAAGCAUCUUG